UGGCGGCAGGCCUUACACAUGCAAGUCGAACGGCAGCACGGGGGCAACCCUGGUGGCGAGUGGCGAACGGGUGAGUAAUGCAUCGGAACGUGCCCAGUAGUGGGGGAUAACUAGUCGAAAGAUUAGCUAAUACCGCAUACGACCUAUGGGUGAAAGCGGGGGACCGCAAGGCCUCGCGCGAGAGGAGCGGCCGAUGCCGGAUUAGCUAGUUGGUGGGGUAACGGCCCACCAAGGCGACGAUCCGUAGCUGGUCUGAGAGGACGACCAGCCACACUGGGACUGAGACACGGCCCAGACUCCUACGAGAGGCAGCAGUGGGGAAUUUUGGACAACGGGGGAAACCCUGAUCCAGCCAUGCCGCGUGUGUGAAGAAGGCCUUCGGGUUGUAAAGCACUUUCGGACGGAACGAAAUCGCGUGGGCGAAUAUCCCGCGUGGAUGACGGUACCGUAAGAAGAAGCACCGGCUAACUACGUGCCAGCAGCCGCGGUAAUACGUAGGGUGCGAGCGUUAAUCGGAAUUACUGGGCGUAAAGUGUGCGCAGGCGGCGUCGCAAGUCGAGUGUGAAAGCCCCGGGCUUAACUUGGGAAUUGCGCUCGAAACUACGAUGCUGGAGUGUGGCAGAGGAAGGUGGAAUUCCACGU
RNAcentral lists this ribosomal RNA (642 nucleotides) under uncultured bacterium. Its description in RNAcentral is "bacterial SSU rRNA". It matches the Rfam family "Bacterial small subunit ribosomal RNA", at positions 37 to 674 of the family's 1533-position model. The record is from RNAcentral.